RNAcentral lists this ribosomal RNA (397 nucleotides) under Leptophoxus sp. BOLD:ADF7719. Its description in RNAcentral is "partial 16S ribosomal RNA". The record is from RNAcentral. Lineage: Eukaryota; Metazoa; Arthropoda; Malacostraca; Amphipoda; Phoxocephalidae.
GGGAUGACGGUUUAACAAAUAUGUUUUUUUUAUGUUUAGAGAUAUAAAAAUUGAAUUGAAGAUUAAAAUUUUUUCAUAUAUUUAAGGGACGAUAAGACCCUAAAAGUUUUAUUUGUGUUAUUUUGGAUAUAGUUAAACUAAGAUGUUGAUAUAUUAUAAAUUUGGCUGGGGUAGUAAUUUGUUAAAAAUAUUAGUUGUUUAUUAACAUUUAAAUUUGGUUUUUGAUCCUGUUAAUUUGGGUUUGUUGUAAUAGUUACUUUAGGGCUAACAGGGUAAUAUUUUUGGAGAGAUCUUAUCGAUAAAUUUGAUUACUACCUCGAUGUUGAAUUAAAAUAUCUUUAUUAAGUAGAAAUAAUAAUUUGAAGGUUUGUUCAACCUUUAAUUUUUUACAUGAUUU